RNAcentral lists this unclassified non-coding RNA (350 nucleotides) under soil metagenome. RNAcentral's name for it is "partial contains 5.8S ribosomal RNA, internal transcribed spacer 2, and large subunit ribosomal RNA". The stretch from base 1 to 120 matches the Rfam family "5.8S ribosomal RNA", at positions 35 to 154 of the family's 154-position model. The record is from RNAcentral.
GAUGAAGAACGCAGCGAAAUGCGAUAAGUAAUGUGAAUUGCAGAAUUCAGUGAAUCAUCGAAUCUUUGAACGCACAUUGCGCCCGCCAGUAUUCUGGCGGGCAUGCCUGUUCGAGCGUCAUUUCAACCCUCAAGCCCAGCUUGGUGUUGGGGAUCGGCACAGGCGCCCUCGGGCGCCCGCCGUCCCCUAAAUCUAGUGGCGGUCCCGCUGCAGCCUCCUCUGCGUAGUAGUUUUCUCCUCGCAAGGGCAGCUCGGUGGCGACCUCGCCGGAAAACCCCCAACUUCUGAAAGGUUGACCUCGAAUCAGGUAGGAAUACCCGCUGAACUUAAGCAUAUCAAUAAGCGGAGGA